GGAAAUGUGCCUGAAUCAAAGGACUAUUUUGAUAGAAUAGAUCAUAGGAAAAACACUUCCUCAUUUCCC
This 69-nucleotide transfer RNA is filed under the name Varanus tristis. RNAcentral's name for it is "tRNA-Ile". Lineage: Eukaryota; Metazoa; Chordata; Lepidosauria; Squamata; Varanidae. The record is from RNAcentral.